UCUACGGGAGGCAGCAGUGGGGAAUAUUGCACAAUGGGCGCAAGCCUGAUGCAGCCAUGCCGCGUGUGUGAAGAAGGCCUUCGGGUUGUAAAGCACUUUCAGCGGGGAGGAAGGCGGUAAGGUUAAUAACCUUACCGAUUGACGUUACCCGCAGAAGAAGCACCGGCUAACUCCGUGCCAGCAGCCGCGGUAAUA
RNAcentral lists this ribosomal RNA (195 nucleotides) under uncultured bacterium. RNAcentral describes it as "partial 16S ribosomal RNA". It matches the Rfam family "Bacterial small subunit ribosomal RNA", at positions 338 to 525 of the family's 1533-position model. The record is from RNAcentral. RNAcentral also lists the same sequence under 1 other name.